AGGGAUCAUUAGCGAGUUAAUUAUAAACUCCAAACCCAUGUGAACUUACCUAUUGUUGCCUCGGCAGGCUGUGCUAUAUGAUAUGGGAAGCUACCCUGCAGCUACCUACCCUAAAUAGGAGUUACCCUAGAGUGGAGUCUUAGGACUUGCACGCUGGAGAGAAGCCACCUUAGGGCAUGGAAAGCCGUUUACAGAUGAGCACCGAUCUAAUAGCAUGCUAAAAAGCCUGCCGAAGGACCACUAAACUCUGUUUUAUACUGUAUUUCUGAGUAAAUUAUAUAAACAAGUUAAAACUUUCAACAACGGAUCUCUUGGUUCUGGCAUCGAUGAAGAACGCAGCGAAAUGCGAUAAGUAAUGUGAAUUGCAGAAUUCAGUGAAUCAUCGAAUCUUUGAACGCACAUUGCGCCUAAUAGUAUUCUGUUAGGCAUGCCUGUUCGAGCGUCAUUUCAACCCCCAAGCCCUAUUUGCUUGACGUUGGGAGCUUACAGCUGCUGUAACUCCUUAAAUUUAGUGGCGGAGCUAGGUCAUGCUCUGAGCGUAGUAAUUCUUUUUUUCUCGCUCCUGAUGCUGGCUUGUAUCCUGCCGUAAAACCCCCUAAAUUUUAUUCUGGUUGACUGCGGAUCAGGUAGGAAUACCCGGUGAACUUAA
This 649-nucleotide ribosomal RNA is filed under the name Biscogniauxia sp. O821. RNAcentral's name for it is "eukaryotic LSU rRNA". The stretch from base 292 to 445 matches the Rfam family "5.8S ribosomal RNA". The record is from RNAcentral. Lineage: Eukaryota; Fungi; Ascomycota; Sordariomycetes; Xylariales; Xylariaceae.